This 30-nucleotide transfer RNA is filed under the name Camelus knoblochi. Its description in RNAcentral is "partial tRNA-Arg". The record is from RNAcentral. Lineage: Eukaryota; Metazoa; Chordata; Mammalia; Artiodactyla; Camelidae.
UGGUAGUUAGUUUAAACAAAAUUAAUGAUU